AUAACAUUUGUCCAUGUACUAGCACAAUGACUUUCUUAGUGCUUAACAAUGCAGUGGCGGAUCCAGAACUUUUUAUCCUCACACUUUAUUCCUGGGGCAGUAUGAUUAUCAUUAUAUAAUUAACAAUGUGUCGUCCUAACACAGAGGCAAUGAUUACUAGUAUAUCAAAUAAAUGGCUUAAAACAAAAAUCUCAAAUGUCAUUGCUUCAAUGGUAAUUA
Molecule: long non-coding RNA, 219 nt
Filed under: Mytilus galloprovincialis (Mediterranean mussel)
Lineage: Eukaryota; Metazoa; Mollusca; Bivalvia; Mytilida; Mytilidae
Source: RNAcentral